GCCGGGUGUGGUGGCUCACGCCUGUAAUCCCAGCACUUUGGGAGGCUGAGGUAGGCGGAUCAUCUGAGGUCAGGAGUUCAAGACCAGCCUGACCAACAUGACGAAACCCUAUCUCUA
RNAcentral lists this non-coding RNA (117 nucleotides) under Gorilla gorilla gorilla (western lowland gorilla). The record is from Rfam by way of RNAcentral. Lineage: Eukaryota; Metazoa; Chordata; Mammalia; Primates; Hominidae.